Molecule: long non-coding RNA, 698 nt
Organism: Wyeomyia smithii (pitcher-plant mosquito)
Lineage: Eukaryota; Metazoa; Arthropoda; Insecta; Diptera; Culicidae
Exons: 3
Source: RefSeq, a predicted model, not a curated record
CUCGAUUAAUCAUCAAAACAAUCAAUUUUGUAAAAAAAACGAAAAAGGUUGCAAAUUUGUUUACAUUUAAGCGGAUUGUUCAGCAUUCCCAGUGCAUUGGAGUGGUGAUAAACUGUGGCGAUUAUAAUAGGCAUCAAUAAAUGAAAUAAAUAAGAAGUAACGGUGACAAUGUCAAUUAAAUCCUGUGUCAAAUAAUGUACGGAGAAACUACCGUAAGUUUCCAUAGUUUUUCUGCUACUCCUACACCUCGCGAUGCACUACGACGACAACUUUAGUCUGAGGCUGUUGCGGUGAAAGCCGAUAGCUUAGAUAAUAGCUAUGCAAACCAGCACGGCCCUAUGCCAUUCACGACUUAAACUGGAUUCCAACUUUAUAUCUGAAAUACCACCUUGAAACGGAUUAUCCUGCUCUUGCACAACCAUCGGAAGUUACAAAAAUUUGUUCGUCGUCUGUAGAACGAAGCAAUUUAUGGGAUAAAAAUUCCAACUGUUUGGGAAUUACUGCAAAUGAAAUGGCCUAUGAUUAAUAAAUUGAAUUGCAAGAUGAAAGCUUCAAUUAAGAAACGGUAAAUAUCUUUACGUUGAAACAAUGUUUUUACUCGGAUCAGGAUGUUCAUACUAUGUAAAACGACUCGGUGGGUCGUUUAUGCUCAUACUAUGUAAAACCUAGAUAAAAUGAAUCGCAAAAAUAAAUAAAUG